AUUGAACGCUGGCGGCAUGCCUUACACAUGCAAGUCGAACGGCAGCACGGGUGCUUGCACCUGGUGGCGAGUGGCGAACGGGUGAGUAAUACAUCGGAACGUACCUUAUCGUGGGGGAUAACGCAGCGAAAGCUGUGCUAAUACCGCAUACGCCCUGAGGGGGAAAGCGGGGGAUCGCAAGACCUCGCGCGAUUAGAGCGGCCGAUGCCUGAUUAGCUUGUUGGUGGGGUAAAAGCCCACCAAGGCGACGAUCAGUAGCUGGUCUGAGAGGACGAUCAGCCACACUGGGACUGAGACACGGCCCAGACUCCUACGGGAGGCAGCAGUGGGGAAGUUUGGACAAUGGGGGCAACCCUGAUCCAGCAACGCCGCGUGAGUGAAGAAGGCCUUCGGGUUGUAAAGCUCUUUUGUCAGGGAAGAAACACCGGCUCUAACACAGUCUGGGAAUGACGGUACCUGAAGAAUAAGCACCGGCUAACUACGUGCCAGCCGCCGCCGUAA
Molecule: ribosomal RNA, 501 nt
Filed under: uncultured bacterium
Lineage: Bacteria
Description: partial 16S ribosomal RNA
Rfam family: Bacterial small subunit ribosomal RNA
Source: RNAcentral